CAUCCAACCAAAAAGUAGAAAAUACUCCAUAACCUGCUUGUGUUAUAAUUCCUACAAGUGCCUGAAUCUACUUUUAAUAUUUGAGUAUACGCACAACAGGCGAAUGAAUUGACGU
Long non-coding RNA from Hippocampus comes (tiger tail seahorse), 115 nucleotides. RefSeq lists it as uncharacterized. NCBI's taxonomy places the organism in Eukaryota, Metazoa, Chordata, Actinopteri, Syngnathiformes, Syngnathidae. The record is from RefSeq and is a predicted model, not a curated record. The transcript is spliced from 3 exons.